UGCCGCGUGUGUGAAGAAGGCCUUCGGGUUGUAAAGCACUUUUGUCCGGAAAGAAAUCCUUGGCUCUAAUACAGUCGGGGGAUGACGGUACCGGAAGAAUAAGCACCGGCUAACUACGUGCCAGCAGCCGCGGUAAUACGUAGGGUGCGAGCGUUAAUCGGAAUUACUGGGCGUAAAGCGUGCGCAGGCGGUUUGCUAAGACCGAUGUGAAAUCCCCGGGCUCAACCUGGGAACUGCAUUGGUGACUGGCAGGCUAGAGUAUGGCAGAGGGGGGUAGAAUUCCACGUGUAGCAGUGAAAUGCGUAGAGAUGUGGAGGAAUACCGAUGGCGAAGGCAGCCCCCUGGGCCAAUACUGACGCUCAUGCACGAAAGCGUGGGGAGCAAACAGGAUUAGAUACCCUGGUAGUCCACGCCCUAAACGAUGUCAACUAGUUGUUGGGGAUUCAUUUCCUUAGUAACGUAGCUAACGCGUGAAGUUGACCGCCUGGGGAGUACGGUCGCAAGAUUAAAACUCAAAGGAAUUGACGGGGACCCGCACAAGCGGUGGAUGAUGUGGAUUAAUUCGAUGCAACGCGAAAAACCUUACCUACCCUUGACAUGGUCGGAAUCCCGCUGAGAGGUGGGAGUGCUCGAAAGAGAACCGGCGCACAGGUGCUGCAUGGCUGUCGUCAGCUCGUGUCGUGAGAUGUUGGGUUAAGUCCCGCAACGAGCGCAACCCUUGUCCUUAGUUGCUACGCAAGAGCACUCUAAGGAGACUGCCGGUGACAAACCGGAGGAAGGUGGGGAUGACGUCAAGUCCUCAUGGCCCUUAUGGGUAGGGCUUCACACGUCAUACAAUGGUCGGAACAGAGGG
Molecule: ribosomal RNA, 853 nt
Filed under: marine metagenome
Description: bacterial SSU rRNA
Rfam family: Bacterial small subunit ribosomal RNA
Source: RNAcentral